AGAUAGAUAGAUAGAUAGAUAGAUAGAUAGAUAAAUAGAUAGAUAGAUAGAUAAAUAGAUAGAUAGACGUUUGUAGUUUCGUUUAAAAACCCUUACUUAUUUGUUUUAAUAACCAUAGUUUGUGCUCAGAGUGUGUCUUUCAUGUAGUCUACGUAGUGCGCUCGGAAUGUGUGUAGACCUGUUUUAUAGUUUAUAGUGUAGACGCAGGCUACGUGAGCGCGUAGUGGGCGGAGUUUCUCCGCAAGCCCCGCCCCACGCUCCGCCGAACACAAACUUCUUUUCUUUCUCAGCUCAGAGGCGCAGAAGUCAGUCACGCAGCGUGACGUAACGCAGGAGCCGCGCUUUCACUCUCGUGUCUGUGCGCUGGAGAGGGUUCUGCUGUGUCGUGAGCUCUCCUCCGCGCGUGUGAGAGUGUUUUGUGAGUGUGUGAGUGUGUGUGUGUGUGAGUGAGCUGCAGUCAUGGCUGUGGACGGAACAGACCAGCGCGCGCUGCAGUAUGAGCAAACUUUGACCUGUCAGAGUGACCCGAGACUCAGAAGGAAUUUCUGCUCGAUUACGUUCAGAGGCUUUAGAGUUAUUGUUGUGUAAUUGUGUUUUUUGUUCUUUUUGUAUUGUUUUGGUUCAGAGUAUGUUCUUGUUCCUUGAGCUUUUAUGUG
Molecule: long non-coding RNA, 656 nt
Organism: Cyprinus carpio (common carp)
Lineage: Eukaryota; Metazoa; Chordata; Actinopteri; Cypriniformes; Cyprinidae
Source: Ensembl